Molecule: ribosomal RNA, 253 nt
Filed under: uncultured bacterium
Lineage: Bacteria
Description: partial 16S ribosomal RNA
Rfam family: Bacterial small subunit ribosomal RNA
Source: RNAcentral
UACGUAGGUGGCAAGCGUUAUCCGGAAUUAUUGGGCGUAAAGCGCUCGCAGGCGGUUUCUUAAGUCUGAUGUGAAAGCCCACGGCUCAACCGUGGAGGGUCAUUGGAAACUGGGAGACUUGAGUGCAGAAGAGGAGAGUGGAAUUCCACGUGUAGCGGUGAAAUGCGUAGAGAUGUGGAGGAACACCAGUGGCGAAGGCGACUUUCUGGCCUGUAACUGACACUGAGGCGCGAAAGCGUGGGGAGCAAACAGG